GCAGGUGUGGCGGAAUUGGCAGACGCGCUAGCUUCAGGUGCUAGUGACGCAUGAGUCGUGUGGGUUCAAGUCCCGUCACCUGCACCA
Molecule: transfer RNA, 87 nt
Filed under: [Eubacterium] siraeum
Lineage: Bacteria; Bacillati; Bacillota; Clostridia; Eubacteriales; Oscillospiraceae
Also listed under: 1 other name
Description: tRNA-Leu
Rfam family: tRNA
About the family: Transfer RNA (tRNA) molecules are approximately 80 nucleotides in length.
Source: RNAcentral